Small nucleolar RNA from Arabidopsis thaliana (thale cress), 154 nucleotides. NCBI's taxonomy places the organism in Eukaryota, Viridiplantae, Streptophyta, Magnoliopsida, Brassicales, Brassicaceae. The record is from RefSeq.
AUCGCACAUAGUUCUUCUUCGAAGCCUUUAGAUUCGCUCUAAAAGUGGUUUUGAGGAUUUUAUUUGUGCGUAAAGUAAAUGAUCCUAUCUGCUUGAGUAAUCUCUGUUAUGUGUUAACCAUAGAGUUAUGCUCCAAUGUUAUAGGAUCACAUUU